AUACGGAGGGUGCGAGCGUUAAUCGGAAUUACUGGGCAUAAAGCGUACGUAGGCGGUUGGUUAAGUUAGAUGUGAAAGCCCCGGGCUUAACCUGGGAACUGCAUUUAAAACUGGCGAACUAGAGUUGAGUAGAGGGGAGUGGAAUUUCAGGUGUAGCGGUGAAAUGCGUAGAGAUCUGAAGGAACACCAGUGGCGAAGGCGACUCCCUGGACUCGAACUGACGCUGAGGUACGAAAGCGUGGGUAGCAAACGGGAUUAGAAACCCUGGUAGUCC
RNAcentral lists this ribosomal RNA (274 nucleotides) under uncultured bacterium. RNAcentral describes it as "partial 16S ribosomal RNA". It matches the Rfam family "Bacterial small subunit ribosomal RNA", at positions 523 to 796 of the family's 1533-position model. The record is from RNAcentral.